This 72-nucleotide transfer RNA is filed under the name Callipepla squamata (scaled quail). It matches the Rfam family "tRNA". Rfam says of the family: Transfer RNA (tRNA) molecules are approximately 80 nucleotides in length. Their secondary structure includes four short double-helical elements and three loops (D, anti-codon, and T loops). Lineage: Eukaryota; Metazoa; Chordata; Aves; Galliformes; Odontophoridae. The record is from Rfam by way of RNAcentral.
GCCUGGCCAGCUCAGUCGCUAGAGCAUGAGACUCUUAAUCUCAGAAUCGUGGGGGAGAACCCAUGUUGGGCG